UGGGGGCGCAUCGGACGUUUCAACCCGACCGAUGCACACAUCCUUGAGUGCCUACUAGGUACUGAGAGAUUCCUAUAACUUGACUACAGACGGCGCCACAAACGGGCUGACGGGCCAUCCGUCGUCCGGCGUGCGACUGUGCAGCAUGGCGUGCUCGGGUCUCGGCGUGGACCCUUGGGCGCUGAAAGUGGACACUGUUUGGCGGCACCUGCGCGUGUGCUCUCAGUGUUGACGUAUGGUGAGGGUAGUGUCAAAUCGCACGGUUCGACAACAAGCGUACCGUCGAGUUUGGUGCAAUCGGAUGCCUACUACCAUGGGCGGAGCCGGCGUGCAUUCAACACUCGACGUCCUGUAUCAACCGGAUGCCAACUUGGUUGGUGGUGCCGGCGCAGACAGGACACUGAAUCGAUCUUGGUGGUACAACCCACAUGUGGGUGGUCAAGGUGUGCAUGUGACAACCGGAUGCCAACGAUGGCGGUGCCGGCGCACACCACCACACUCGCCCCUAGGUCGCUUGUUGCGUGUAACGCGUGUGAUCCAUACACAUACCUGUUUGAGCUGUGCGUUGAACACAAGAUGAUGAGAGUUGCGAAACACACAGACCACACUCCAGUACGCCUCCCAUGAUGUGUGACUACCCCCUGAAUUACAACCCAAAAUUAAGCAAA
RNAcentral lists this ribosomal RNA (668 nucleotides) under Anopheles subpictus. RNAcentral describes it as "eukaryotic LSU rRNA". The record is from RNAcentral. Lineage: Eukaryota; Metazoa; Arthropoda; Insecta; Diptera; Culicidae.